CAUGUUGGUUGUGAGGGUCGUGAGCCCUGGGAAGAAGUGCUGCUACUGGUGGCAUCUUCUGUUCUUCUCCCAGGGCCAGCACUGAGGUCCGGGUGAUCAGGUUGCUCAGCCUCUUCUCGCCUUCAGCGUCUCCAGCGACGGGGCCGGCUUUUCCCCUGUUUCCUCCAGCAGAGCCAGGAGGCUUGGUGGCUUGGUCAAGGCAUGCCGGUCUUGAGGGCCCUCAGCAGUGUGGGGAGCACGAAGUACGCACUGCUGCUGCCUGCGGCCACCCUGGCUCAGCCCCAGCAAUGCACGAAGAGCUGCCUUUGGUUCCUGAUUAUGCACACACCCACAUUUGUGGAGCCCAGCUUUGCUUAGAUACUCGCGUAGCCAUGCAGGUGCUCAGUCAGUGGUUCAGGCCAUGACUCAGAAGUUCCCAUACAGCAGAAGAGGACCUCUGCUUCUGGAAGGAUGGAGGAGAAAGUGAGGAACUCACCAGCCCUUGUUUACCGUCUGGUUUCAAAUCUGGGUGGCAGCAUGCUGAGAUAGUGUACGAAAUCAAAGGACAGCAGCCUCUGUGUCACUCUUGCUCUGACAAAGCAGCAAAGAUGCUCCACCAGAGAGCGCAUAAAGGUGAGGAAGUGAAGGACUUGGAUUUUCAUGCUUUCCCCUGCUGUGAUGCUUUGUUCAGCAGAGGCCGGACUCAUAGGUAAGCUUGUUUUCAUUUCAUUGCACUUUAAAUGGCAGGUAGUAGAAGAAGUGGC
Molecule: long non-coding RNA, 743 nt
Filed under: Gallus gallus (chicken)
Lineage: Eukaryota; Metazoa; Chordata; Aves; Galliformes; Phasianidae
Description: lncRNA (ENSGALG00010019812.1)
Source: RNAcentral